This 467-nucleotide ribosomal RNA is filed under the name uncultured bacterium. RNAcentral's name for it is "partial 16S ribosomal RNA". It matches the Rfam family "Bacterial small subunit ribosomal RNA", at positions 28 to 506 of the family's 1533-position model. The record is from RNAcentral.
GACGAACGCUGGCGGCGUGCUUAACACAUGCAAGUCGAACGGAAAGGCCCUGCUUUUGUGGGGUGCUCGAGUGGCGAACGGGUGAGUAACACGUGAGUAACCUGCCCUUGACUUUGGGAUAACUUCAGGAAACUGGGGCUAAUACCGGAUAGGAGCUCCUGCUGCAUGGUGGGGGUUGGAAAGUUUCGGCGGUUGGGGAUGGACUCGCGGGUUACCAGCUUGUUGGGGGGGUAGUGGCUUACCAGGGCUUGGCCGGGUAGCCGGCCUGGCAGGGUGACCGGCCACAGUGGGACUGGGAUACGGCCAAGACUCCUACGGGAGGCAGCAGUGGGGAAUAGUGCGAAAUGGGCGGAAGCAUGAUGCAGCAACGCCGCGUGCGGGAUGACGGCCUUCGGGUUGUAAACCGCUUUCGCCUGUGACGAAGCGUGAGUGACGGUAAUGGGUAAAGAAGCACCGGCUAACUACGU